AUUCCAGGCUCUUCUGUGCCUGUGGGACUACAUUCUCUGUGCCGGGCUUAGAGAACACGAAGAGGGAGCCAUCUGCCACACUCUGGAGGCUGAAGCCUGCACCAGUGCUGCUCGCCUCACUGUGGUAGGUGGUGGUGAUGGAAACUGCAGAUCGGCCAGAGUGGUAGAAAAGUUGCUGCAGGGUUUUUCUGGCUUUGCCUGCCCAGCUGCUCCAUGCCUGGCUAGAGGAGAAGGAGGAGCCACAUGUGGUACACUGGAGGCUGGAGCCUGCAGAUGGCAUGGCUCUGCGGCUCACCUUGCUGCAGUUGGUGGUGGUGACAGAGACUGCAGCUUGACUGUAGUGAAUCCAUGAGGAAAGUUUCGAAGUCCAGAUCCAAGUCGGAAACGAGGGCACUUACGAAGUCAUCAACAGAAGGACACUUCUGAAGCAUACCUGCAAACAAAGGAAAGGUCAGAACUGCGUUCACCAGGAGGC
Molecule: long non-coding RNA, 475 nt
Filed under: Homo sapiens (human)
Lineage: Eukaryota; Metazoa; Chordata; Mammalia; Primates; Hominidae
Description: HSALNT0198589
Source: RNAcentral